Molecule: transfer RNA, 73 nt
Organism: Anaerostipes sp. 992a
Lineage: Bacteria; Bacillati; Bacillota; Clostridia; Lachnospirales; Lachnospiraceae
Rfam family: tRNA
About the family: Transfer RNA (tRNA) molecules are approximately 80 nucleotides in length.
Source: Rfam
GCUUCGAUGGCUCAGAUGGUAGAGCAACGCAUUCGUAAUGCGUGGGUCGUGGGUUCGAGUCCCAUUCGAAGCU